This 513-nucleotide ribosomal RNA is filed under the name uncultured bacterium. RNAcentral describes it as "partial 16S ribosomal RNA". It matches the Rfam family "Bacterial small subunit ribosomal RNA", at positions 28 to 507 of the family's 1533-position model. The record is from RNAcentral.
GACGAACGCUGGCGGCGUGCUUAACACAUGCAAGUCGAACGAAAAGAGGGAAAGAGCUUGCUCUUUCCGGAAUUGAGUGGCAAACGGGUGAGUAACACGUAAACAACCUGCCUUCAGGAUGGGGACAACAGACGGAAAAGAAUGCUAAUACCGAAUAAGGUCCAAGAACCGCAUGGCCCAUGGAAGAAAAGGUGGCCUCUACCUGUAAGCUAUCGCCUGGAGAGGGGGUUGCGUCUGAUUAGCUGGUUGGAGGGGUAACGGCCCACCAAGGCGACGAUCAGUAGCCGGUCUGAGAGGAUGAACGGCCACACUGGAACUGAGACACGGUCCAGACUCCUACGGGAGGCAGCAGUGGGGAAUCUUCCGCAAUGGGCGAAAGCCUGACGGAGCAACGCCGCGUGAGUGAUGACGGCCUUCGGGUUGUAAAACUCUGUGAUCCGGGACGAAAAGGCAGAGUGCGAAGAACAAACUGCAUUGACGGUACCGGAAAAGCAAGCCACGGCUAACUACGUG